Molecule: ribosomal RNA, 492 nt
Filed under: uncultured bacterium
Lineage: Bacteria
Description: partial 16S ribosomal RNA
Rfam family: Bacterial small subunit ribosomal RNA
Source: RNAcentral
AGCGAACGCUGGCGGCAGGCUUAACACAUGCAAGUCGAACGGCAGCACAGUAAGAGUUUGCUCUUACGGGUGGCGAGUGGCGGAUGGGUGAGGAAUACAUCGGAAUCUACUUUUUCGUGGGGGAUCACGUAGGGAAAGUUACGCUAAUACAUCAUACGACCCACGGGUGAAAGCAGGGGAGCUUGGGACCUUGCGCGAUUGAAUGAGCCGAUGUCGGAUUGGCUUGUUGGCGGGGUAAAGGCCCACCAAGGCGACGAUCCGUAGCCGGUCUGAGAGGAUGAUCGGCGACACGAGAGCUGGGACACGGACCAGGCUCCUGCGAGAGGCAGCAGUGGCGAAUGUUGGGCAAUGGGCGCAAGUCUGGUCCAGCCAGACCACGUGUGUUGAGAAGGCGUUCGGUUUGUAAAGACCGUUUGUGGGGAAAGAAAAGCAUCAGGUUAAGACGCCGCGGUUGUGACGGUACCCAAAGAAGAAGCACCGGCUAACUUCGUG